This 279-nucleotide ribosomal RNA is filed under the name uncultured bacterium. Its description in RNAcentral is "partial 16S ribosomal RNA". It matches the Rfam family "Bacterial small subunit ribosomal RNA", at positions 506 to 784 of the family's 1533-position model. The record is from RNAcentral.
UGCCAGCCGCCGCGGUAAUACGGAGGGGGUUAGCGUUGUUCGGAAUUACUGGGCGUAAAGCGCACGUAGGCGGACUAUUAAGUAGAGGGUGAAAUCCCAUGGCUCAACCAUGGAACUGCCUUCUAUACUGGUAGUCUUGAGUUCGAGAGAGGUGAGUGGAAUUCCGAGUGUAGAGGUGAAAUUCGUAGAUAUUCGGAGGAACACCAGUGGCGAAGGCGGCUCACUGGCUCGAUACUGACGCUGAGGUGCGAAAGUGUGGGGAGCAAACGGGAUUAGAUA